GGGGCUGACAUGGCUUCGACGGGAGCGGGAUGCUUUAGGUUGCAUGCCGGACUGGGCACCUCCGUUACACGGCCCACAUUGCUUAAACGCAAACAACACAAACUAUCGUCCUGCUUACGCUGUAGCGUAAGUUUUAACUUAACUUAGGACUGCUUCUCCUUCCGAUUCUAUCUACGAAGAUUUGAGAAGUAUAACCUUCAGAUAGAUAUAUUCGCGGGAUGUCUCGUCCGCGGACGAAUUUAGAGGCUGGGGCGGUGUAGCUUUGCACGUUGUGUGAAGCCGUCCGAGACUCAAACAACGUCUCUAAGCAUGUAGACGCCUUUGGUGGCCCGUUUUCGGACUGCGGUUCGAUUCCGCACAGCUCCACCA
This 369-nucleotide transfer-messenger RNA is filed under the name Sulfuricurvum sp. It matches the Rfam family "transfer-messenger RNA". From Rfam's summary of the family: Bacterial tmRNA, also known as 10Sa RNA or SsrA, is named for its dual tRNA and mRNA-like properties. Its role is to liberate the mRNA from a stalled ribosome. To accomplish this part of the tmRNA is used as a reading frame that ends in a translation stop signal. The record is from RNAcentral. Lineage: Bacteria; Pseudomonadati; Campylobacterota; Epsilonproteobacteria; Campylobacterales; Sulfurimonadaceae. RNAcentral also lists the same sequence under 2 other names.